Long non-coding RNA from Triticum aestivum (bread wheat), 1366 nucleotides. RefSeq lists it as uncharacterized. The transcript has 5 exons. Lineage: Eukaryota; Viridiplantae; Streptophyta; Magnoliopsida; Poales; Poaceae. The record is from RefSeq and is a predicted model, not a curated record.
GCCGUCAGUCGUCAGGGAGGCGAGCCGUGGAUCAGAAUCGGCGUUCCCGUCUGAUCCAUGGAUCGGAAAGUUCGCUUUUCCGUCCAAUGGCCGCAGACCGGAAUUGAUGCAGAACCGAGAGUCCUCUCGCCUAGGGCGUGGGUCAUUUGGAAGCUGAGGAAUGCGGGGAUAGAGGGAAGGAGCGCCGGCGGCGAGACACCAUGGAGUUUCUGAUGCAGCCCAUCGGCAGGUAUGUGGAUCUCUGCUUUCCCGGCGAUGCCGUCUCCAUAUUAGCCUCUGGUUUGGCUGAUCCAUAGGAUUGGUUUUUCCCAAGUUUCAGAUCCACUCUGCUUGAAGAGGUAGGGAUAGUUUGGUGCCGGCUCCUGCGGCUCUGGGAUGGGGGGUUUUGAGGUGGCACAGCCGGUGGAGCGCGAGGCGGCGCAGCAUCGGAAGGUGGACAGUGCCAUAGUGGCGAGGCACAAAUCUUCUUGGGGAAGGAGACGGCGGCGGGCAGAAGAGAGAGCUCGCCGCCGACAUCCGAGCUGUCAACGAGGAAAAUGAACCUCCAAGCCCCUGGGUGGAACACGAGGCUGAGGAUUGAUGUUGCUGCACCGAGCAGAACACCCUGCCCAAAUCGUAUAAAUGCGUUCGAGAAGGCAGUCAGGUGUUUUGCAAAGAACCCGGCUGAAAAUGUGAUCACACCGGUUCUUGGAAGAUGACAGGAAGCUCAGGGAGCAAGAGAAGGAUGUUGAGGUUGCAAGGAAGUGUCAGGAGGACGCAGAGAGGAACGCGAUGAAACAUUUUGUUGAAAUUUGUUGAUUAUUGGGCAUGUGGAAGAUGAUAGUUGUAUGUGUUGGUGCAGCCACAGAUGAGGAGAUCGCACACGCAUCUCGAGAUGUUGCUGCUAGUGGGCCUGUAUAUAAUGUUGCUCAGGAAUCAACCCGGAAGGUGGUGGCAUGCCAGGUGGUUAGACAAGUUUGGAUGAUGGUGGCAUUGAUCGGAGCUGGCAAUUAAACUACGGUGGGCGGAAUCGCAAUACUAGACGUGCCGGUGGUGGUGGGAGCAGCACUGUGAAGCGGUCUCGACACCGGAAGGGCAAUAAGAGAGCAAAAAGAAGAAGGAAUACGAGAUGGAGUUAGUUCGGUUCUCUAAUAUUGUUGAAAUGAUAUGCACAUGUCUCAGAGAGCUCAGAAGACAAUGGCACAAGCAGUGACGAUAGCAACAACGCUAGUGGUGAAGACAUGGGUUAUACUGGCCGCGCAAGCAAGGAAACAAAUAUUUGUGGAAGUACUUUAUUUUUGUUUGUUCAUGGAACCGUAUGUGCUAAACCUUACAUCAUCAGGAUGUAAAACAGAGCCAAGGGAUAUAUUGGUGGCACGGGACAGGG